CCAAUGAAUUUUUAGGAAGACGAACUGCAUAACAUUUACAUAAAUCAGAAACUGUUGAUGGUUGUCUUUCCAUGCACUGGGGCCAUCCAUGAAGGAAGCUAUAAGGCAUCUUUCAUGUAUGAGGGUACUGAUGCUGAACUAACAGCCAGGAAGCAGAGGGGUAGCAAGGACUGUGCCUAAACCACCGACUCAGGGUCCUGCCUCUGGCCCACCUCCAUUAACCAACCUGGGGCUGGUCACUGGGACUCUGGAGAGAAGCCCUAAAAGCGUCUUCUGUCCCUCUGCCUUCCAGCUGCUUCCAUUUUCCCUAACUUGGAGUAAAAUCUCAGCUGUACACAUGGAUACAGGAACUACAUCACUUGCUGGCGCUGGCCUGUCCUGAGGACAGCAGGAAUUCUCCAUCAGGAUCUUCAGUGUGUUUAGUUAUAUUUCAUCAGAACUCAUGUGGGUGUCAGAAAAGUGGAGCUCAUCAUCUUGAUACUUCAACCUUGUAGAAAAAGACCCUACUCUGAGGUUUGCCAUGUGAAUUUUGGGUUCUGCUGCUCAAAUACCUUUUUCUGCAACUGCUUUUAGUGAAUGAAUCUUGUGACUGUAAAUGUCACGUGUGCUACGACAGUACUUAAAGCCAAAUUACCAGAAAAUGCUCCACUCGAACAGGGGAUUUUAAUCAGUGUUUGUUGGUCACUCAAAUGCUGCUGAACUAGAAAUUCUUUAAGAGGCAGGCACACAUGUACACUCGGAAGUGAAGGAUAUUUAUAUCCUCCAGCACUAUGCCAGAGGAAGAAGGGCACAAAGUCCUUCCACACGUGGAGAAGACUCCAUGGAAGGACAGGUACAGGGGGAGGAACGAGCAGAUGCUGGACAGGAGGCAUUAAAGCCAAGGCUCAUCUGCAUGGGGCCGGUCCAGCUUGCACCAGGAAGGUUCCCGAGUCGGCUCCCUGCCAAGGCCGCCGGCGGAGGUGGGGGGAUGUGAUCAAUAGGAGGCAUCAAGUGUUGGCUUGGGAAUCAAAGGCAAAAGUGUGGAAAUGCCACUCUGCAAAUGGGGUUUCACUGCGCUGCCAGGAAGUUCUCUAGAGGCAUUGGAAGACCAACCUGCUAACAGGAAAUUAAUCAGCAGCGUUUUUGAGCGGCUCCUCGGCUGGUGAGUGCUGCUGGGGCUAUUUAUACCUCUGAACUACAGCAAUUUACCCUGUUAAGGAGCUGCUCAGAUGUCACACAUUAGCCACUGCCAGAACAAGUGACCUUUCUGCACAGUACAUUAAGAGCAAAGAGAUGAAAAUUCCCGUUUUCCAAGCAUGGUCCAAAAAAUCCUCUGUGCUCUUGUUAAACCAGCUGCAUUGAAGAGGAAUGAUUAGAUCUGGCCUUUUUUUUUUUGGCCUGCACCUGUCUCUAGUUCCACAGCUGAGGACACACUGAAAUCUACUUCCCUCCAGACCUGAUUCUGUAAGAGCUUCAGGUGGUAAUUAAGUUCAUCAUUAUCUACAUCUAUUUCUGCUUAAACAUUUGAGGGGAAAAGCCACCUGAAGGCCCAGCAGUGGCUGGAACUUGCAGUAAUGAACAACCCACAGGAGAAAAAAAAGCUCCUCCAUUUCUCAGUCCCCAAAUGGGUGAGAUUUUUCUUGGUUAUCAUUCUUAAGGAAGUGGAGGCCUUGCUAAGGAGGGAGGAUCAUUUUGAGCAGCCUUUUGAGUUAGUCUCUUGAGAAGGUGACAGCUUCACUCCCAGCUAGGAAGAAAGAUUCCCUGACCGUUCUAUCAAGAAAUACACAGGAAAGAACUGUGCCAGAUUACUGCAGAAAAGAACAGACCAUCGACAGUAAAGGGAGCUGUGCUUUCCAGGAGUGCCUACACCACUCAAAGCCAGGACUUUGCUUCAAAUCCCAUCCCUCACUUUUGGGAUAUAAAGGGGCUGCUCCAAGGCCAUGGAUCAAGGACUGAGCAAGUCCAGGUCACAGUUUUGAAUGUUCCUGCUCAGGACAUGCUAAAGAAUCUAAAAGUUCAGCAAAGUGGCUGCACAUUGGGGCAUGAAAGUGCACUUACAGGAUUAUUUUUUGCAUUGAAGAGAAAUCAAGCAUUUUCUUCUGUAUAAAGAAAUGUCUUGGACAUGAAGAAGAAAAGGAAUAUGUUAAUCCCUGUGUUACUGAUUUGCUAUUUUAAAAUUCCAGUUGUCCCUGGACUCACUAAGCAUGUAAGAGGGAAACACAGUGAUGAGGGGAUAUAAACCCAAGGGCCAGGACAUAAAGCAGAGGAUAUGAUAUGUCAGAGCAUAGGAACUGGGCUUGUGGAUGAAACCAACAUCAGAGAGGCACUCCAGGAGGAAGCUUCCUAAGCUCCAGGCAGUGAAGACUGGAAAUUCAGCAGUCAAGAUUGUGGAAAAUUCAGCCACAUGUACGGUGUGGAUGUCGGGUUCCCACUACCAGCUGUGCUUCUGCUCCUGCUUAGCUUUCCAGUGUAGGUAGAGCCAUCUGACACCCAGGUCACUUGGGUGAUUACAUCUUCUCUGAUUAGCAAAAAUGAUGCUUGUUCUGGUAACACACUUGCUUCCAUGUACGGCGAAUAUCAGCGCAUCUUGGGCAGAACACAAAGCUCCUUGGGAAUUUCACUGCUGAAGUCAGUGACACCACGUUUCAUCUGUCCAA
Cyanistes caeruleus (blue tit) is the source of this 2636-nucleotide non-coding RNA. NCBI's taxonomy places the organism in Eukaryota, Metazoa, Chordata, Aves, Passeriformes, Paridae. The record is from RefSeq and is a predicted model, not a curated record.